Molecule: long non-coding RNA, 859 nt
Organism: Rhipicephalus sanguineus (brown dog tick)
Lineage: Eukaryota; Metazoa; Arthropoda; Arachnida; Ixodida; Ixodidae
Exons: 4
Source: RefSeq, a predicted model, not a curated record
CUUUCUCGUAUUAGAACUUGCUAUUUGGCUAACUGGUCAUAAGCUAUCUUGAAAAUUAGGCGCCACUCGGCACUUCCUCACUCAAACAUAUUCACACACGCAAGUACUCACGACGUGUGUUAAUGUGUGUGAAUAAGGGAGUGACUAGUCGCGCCUAAUUUUCAAGAUGGUACUUUUGUUUUCAGCAUGUUACGAAAUAAUGCCCUGAAAUAAUGUCCGUUUCACUGUUUCAGAAACGAUCAUGAGCAACACAUAAUGUGAUUCUGAAAAAAUGCACCAGUGAUCACUGCACUUUGAACAGCUUUAGUCAAGUGCUGACAUUGAAUCUUUUGCGAAGGAUGUCCGUUCAAUAUAAUUCUACAAAAUGAAGACAAUGAAGCGAUUCGCGUUGCGUUGUGCGAUGCUCUGCAUAUUGGCCGCCCUUACUGCCAGCAUUAAACUACAUCAUGGUCCACAUACGCAUUCACAAGGACUUCCAUACAAAAAGCAUACCUACCACGAUAUACCUCUAUGCAGGCGGGUAUCCGCUUGCCCAAAGGGUUGGGUUCAGUUAUGCCUAACACCUGCUAAUCAAUGGACAAUUUUUUGUGCUGAUAGCAGAGCUGUAAUGGAAGCAAAAAAUAAGGGAGAUCAUUUAUAGAAAAAAGGAAACCCCGACGAAGGACCACAGUCUCGUGUUCAUAUAACACCAGUGCAAAUGAGAGCCAAUACUUGACACACCAGCUAUUGAUACGUCCGUGCGGCGCAACCAACGCCUCACAGCAUCACACCUAUGAAUAAAACAAAAUUAUCGAAAGUUUCAUUCCACCUUGAUUGAGACUUUCAGGUGUAAACGAGAAAUAAAUAAAAUUGUGUUGUA